Amblyraja radiata (thorny skate) is the source of this 207-nucleotide long non-coding RNA. RefSeq lists it as uncharacterized. The record is from RefSeq and is a predicted model, not a curated record. The transcript is spliced from 4 exons. Lineage: Eukaryota; Metazoa; Chordata; Chondrichthyes; Rajiformes; Rajidae.
UGGUGUUUCUGAAGGAGGAAGCUGGUCGCAAGCAAAGGGUUCGUGAUGAAGAUAAACCACUGUCGGUGGUAGAUGAUAACUUGCUGAUUGAAAAAUUUGAAAAUCAUUUUUUGUACAACACGGUAUUGGCAGAAACACCUGAUGCCAUCAAGCAAGUCUCCGUCACCCUGGAUGUGGAAACAGCGCAUGCGCGGCUCGAGGUGUCUG